UUUCAUAAGUGAGGCACGGCCUUAUUGGUUACGUGGUUAAUAUUAUAGAACAAGUCCUUUAAAAUGUAAACAAUAAGGUCUAUUUAUCUUAAUAACAAAAAAGUGUCUAUUUAGUAUUUAUCUUAUCCAACAUUCUACAACAAUAUUGUUACACUAACUAACGCCGUAGCCUCCGGCUCGUUCUUCUUCUUGAAUUUGAACCAAAUGGCCAGAAGGAACAUGAGGGUGGUCAAGAGGGCAGCAGUCAGUUCCAGGAGUUUUGAUAGUACUGUUGGUCCCAAAAGGCUUCCUCUAGUUUCAUU
Long non-coding RNA from Arabidopsis thaliana (thale cress), 302 nucleotides. RefSeq annotates it as other RNA. NCBI's taxonomy places the organism in Eukaryota, Viridiplantae, Streptophyta, Magnoliopsida, Brassicales, Brassicaceae. The transcript has a single exon. The record is from RefSeq.